This is a non-coding RNA of Cronobacter sp., 93 nucleotides long. The record is from Rfam. NCBI's taxonomy places the organism in Bacteria, Pseudomonadati, Pseudomonadota, Gammaproteobacteria, Enterobacterales, Enterobacteriaceae.
UGGCUGCGAAAAGAGUUUUAAUUUUUUUCAGAGACCGGACAAAAUUAGCGGUCUCAGGCGACAGGCACAAAACGGAGAGAAAUUAUGUUUGAA